This 774-nucleotide ribosomal RNA is filed under the name uncultured Neocallimastigales. RNAcentral's name for it is "partial large subunit ribosomal RNA". It matches the Rfam family "Eukaryotic large subunit ribosomal RNA", at positions 24 to 633 of the family's 3401-position model. Lineage: Eukaryota; Fungi; Neocallimastigomycota; Neocallimastigomycetes; Neocallimastigales. The record is from RNAcentral.
GUAGUCUCGCACAGAUGCAUAUCAAUAAGCGGAGGAAAAGAAACUAACAAGGAUUCCCCUAGUAACGGCGAGUGAAGCGGGAAGAGCUCAAAUUUGAAAUCUUAAAGGGUUUCCCUUUACGAAUUGUAGUUUAAAGAAGUGUUUUCUGUUGAGGUUUUGGUAAAAGUUCUUUGGAAUAGGACAUCAUAGAGGGUGAGAAUCCCGUAUUUGACCUUUACUUUCAACUUUGUGAUACACUUUCAAAGAGUCGGAUUGUUUGGGAAUGCAGUCCAAAAUGGGUGGUAAAUUUCAUCUAAAGCUAAAUAUUGGCGAGAGACCGAUAGCGAACAAGUACCGUGAGGGAAAGAUGAAAAGAACUUUGAAAAGAGAGUUAAACAGUACGUGAAAUUGUCAAAAGGGAAGCGUUUGACACCAGUGUUGUUUUUCUGAAAAUCAAUUAAAGAACUGUUUAUGCUAAGUUGUUUAGACUUUAUCAGCUAUCUGUUUAGUUUUGAGCUUUUCUUUAAUGCACUUUUCAGUUAACAAGUCAACAUCAAUUUCUUUUGCUGUAAAAAAGCUUGAGGAAGGUGGCUUGAGAUUCGUCUUAAGUGUUUAUAGCCUCUUGCCUAUGCAGUCGGAGAGAUUGAGGUCUGCAGCGUAGAUCCUUCGGGGCUAAAUGCAUUUGUGCUAAGUUAUAGCAUUUUAUAGACAACUUGUUGACUAUGAUUUGUCUUGUAGCUUACUCGCUUAUGUUAUUUUACCUACGCUUAGGAUGUUGAAGACUCUACAGAGAUA